RNAcentral lists this microRNA (21 nucleotides) under Xenopus laevis (African clawed frog). RNAcentral's name for it is "xla-miR-5147". The record is from RNAcentral. Lineage: Eukaryota; Metazoa; Chordata; Amphibia; Anura; Pipidae.
UGCUACAGGAGUCCUGUGUCU